GUACAGUGAAUCUUUGGAGCUGGUGCUGC
Molecule: non-coding RNA, 29 nt
Filed under: Rattus norvegicus (Norway rat)
Lineage: Eukaryota; Metazoa; Chordata; Mammalia; Rodentia; Muridae
Source: RNAcentral